This 469-nucleotide ribosomal RNA is filed under the name uncultured bacterium. RNAcentral's name for it is "partial 16S ribosomal RNA". It matches the Rfam family "Bacterial small subunit ribosomal RNA", at positions 28 to 507 of the family's 1533-position model. The record is from RNAcentral.
GAUGAACGCUGGCGGCGUGCUUAACACAUGCAAGUCGAACGAUGAAGCUGGAGCUUGCUCUGGUGGAUUAGUGGCGAACGGGUGAGUAACACGUGAGCAACCUGCCCCUGACUCUGGGAUAACAGCCGGAAACGGCUGCUAAUACCGGAUAUGCACCAUGAACGCAUGUUCUGUGGUGGGAAAGAUUUUUCGGUUGGGGAUGGGCUCGCGGCCUAUCAGCUUGUUGGUGAGGUAAUGGCUCACCAAGGCGUCGACGGGUAGCCGGCCUGAGAGGGUGACCGGCCACACUGGGACUGAGACACGGCCCAGACUCCUACGGGAGGCAGCAGUGGGGAAUAUUGCACAAUGGGCGAAAGCCUGAUGCGGCAACGCCGCGUGAGGGAUGACGGCCUUCGGGUUGUAAACCUCUUUUAGCAGGGAAGAAGCGAGAGUGACGGUACCUGCAGAAAAAGCGCCGGCUAACUACGUG